RNAcentral lists this ribosomal RNA (305 nucleotides) under uncultured Sulfurimonas sp. RNAcentral's name for it is "bacterial SSU rRNA". It matches the Rfam family "Bacterial small subunit ribosomal RNA", at positions 29 to 334 of the family's 1533-position model. The record is from RNAcentral. Lineage: Bacteria; Pseudomonadati; Campylobacterota; Epsilonproteobacteria; Campylobacterales; Sulfurimonadaceae.
AAUGAACGCUGGCGGCGUGCUUAACACAUGCAAGUCGAACGAUGAAGCCUAGCUUGCUAGGUGGAUUAGUGGCGCACGGGUGAGUAAUAUAUAGAUAAUGUGCCUCUUAGUCUGGGAUAGCCAUUGGAAACGAUGAUUAAUACUAGAUACUCCUUCUCAUUAUAAUUUGAGUCGGGAAAGUUUUUUCGCUAAGAGAUCAGUCUAUAUCCCAUCAGCUUGUUGGUAGUGUAAGAGACUACCAAGGCUAUGACGGGUAGCGGGUUUGAGAGGAUGAUCCGCCACACUGGUACUGAGACACGGACCAG